UGGCGGACGGGUGAGUAAUGUCUGGGAAACUGCCCGAUGGAGGGGGAUAACUACUGGAAACGGUAGCUAAUACCGCAUAACGUCGCAAGACCAAAGAGGGGGACCUUCGGGCCUCUUGCCAUCGGAUGUGCCCAGAUGGGAUUAGCCAGUAGGUGGGGUAACGGCUCACCUAGGCGACGAUCCCUAGCUGGUCUGAGAGGAUGACCAGCCACACUGGAACUGAGACACGGUCCAGACUCCUACGGGAGGCAGCAUG
RNAcentral lists this ribosomal RNA (256 nucleotides) under uncultured bacterium. RNAcentral's name for it is "partial 16S ribosomal RNA". It matches the Rfam family "Bacterial small subunit ribosomal RNA", at positions 96 to 353 of the family's 1533-position model. The record is from RNAcentral.